RNAcentral lists this ribosomal RNA (612 nucleotides) under uncultured bacterium. RNAcentral describes it as "bacterial SSU rRNA". It matches the Rfam family "Bacterial small subunit ribosomal RNA", at positions 33 to 632 of the family's 1533-position model. The record is from RNAcentral.
ACGCUGGCGGCAGGCCUAACACAUGCAAGUCGAGCGGCAGCGGGAAGUAGCUUGCUACUUUGCCGGCGAGCGGCGGACGGGUGAGUAAUGUCUGGGAAACUGCCUGAUGGAGGGGGAUAACUACUGGAAACGGUAGCUAAUACCGCAUGACCUCGCAAGAGCAAAGUGGGGGACCUUCGGGCCUCACGCCAUCGGAUGUGCCCAGAUGGGAUUAGCUAGUAGGUGAGGUAAUGGCUCACCUAGGCGACGAUCCCUAGCUGGUCUGAGAGGAUGACCAGCCACACUGGAACUGAGACACGGUCCAGACUCCUACGGGAGGCAGCAGUGGGGAAUAUUGCACAAUGGGCGCAAGCCUGAUGCAGCCAUGCCGCGUGUGUGAAGAAGGCCUUAGGGUUGUAAAGCACUUUCAGCGAGGAGGAAGGGUUCAGUGUUAAUAGCACUGUACAUUGACGUUACUCGCAGAAGAAGCACCGGCUAACUCCGUGCCAGCAGCCGCGGUAAUACGGGAGGGUGCAAGCGUUAAUCGGAAUUACUGGGCGUAAAGCGCACGCAGGCGGUUUGUUAAGUCAGAUGUGAAAUCCCCGAGCUUAACUUGGGGAACUGCAUUUGAAA